UUAAACAAAGGAUCUCUGAUAAGAACUCUCCUCCGAUCUCCGUGUUUUUUUAUUUGAAUGAGGAUCGCGUAAGAACUCUCCCCCGACCUCUUGAAAUUUAAUUACGAUCGUAUCGCGCAGGGACCUUAGGCUAAGGGUUCCAGCAUCCGAAGACACUGGGAACCCGGAUUAGGCUUCUUUUAACUCAUCGGUACCUUAUGACUAGUUAGGGAAAACCAGACUGAAUUUUUACCGAUCUCCUAUGUGAUCGCCUUACCAGUAUCUUUCGGCAAGCAAUAUUUGCUCUAUUUCAUUUGCUAGUCUGAAAUUCGAUUCUACUUUGACUCCCCACCUCACCCAGUCACCUUCUUGAGCUAGUCUAGUGGCUCGUCUUUAUUAUUUUCUCUGAUUUAUUAUCCAAACUUUUAUUUAAAGAAACUCUUGUGUUAAGAUACAAUUACCAACAUUUUAUCAAACUACCUAUACGCUACCCGUAACCAGAACACCUACAUUAGGAAAUAAUAAAAGACCAAGAACAAAUAAAUAACAUGAACUGAUGUAUCAAAAGAUAAACUCAAGAGAAUAACCACCUACGUGGGACCUUCUAACAUAAGACAAACUUUAACGAAAAUUACAAGCAUAAAAAAAAGAAAAUACAUAAAAUAAAAACAAGCACUUGAUAAAGCAGCGGUAUAGACACUUACCUGCAGGGAAUCGAUUCUAUAGAACUAACUAUGGAGUCACAAAAUAUAGUAGAGCCGUGCGCUGCUAGCCUGGGGACUAAUAUUCGCCUUGGAAUGAAGAGUACCAAGUUAAAAUGCAGUCAAACCGAAAUGACAACAAUCGAGUUUGAAUGAGGUUGAGCUUGGAAAAUGAAAGUGGAAAUAAAGGCAGAACUAAAACUUAGAGAGGGUAUCACAAAGUAAUGAACGAACUGAAAAUGGAGAGUUUCAGUAUUCAAUACUUCUUCAAAGAAAAUACUUUAGAAAACUGGUUUCUGAAGUUUUUCCUAUUUUUGAAAGUUUAAAAAUAGCAGAGUAGCAAAACUGAAUUAAGUUUUAGAGCCUUUCCACUAUAGUCACUACCAUUUUCUUCGUUUUUCUUUUUCAACAGUUUUCAUACAGGUAUUUAUAGGGACCGGGUGCUCCCAAUGAAGGGUCAA
This 1141-nucleotide unclassified non-coding RNA is filed under the name Hevea brasiliensis (rubber tree). The record is from RNAcentral. Lineage: Eukaryota; Viridiplantae; Streptophyta; Magnoliopsida; Malpighiales; Euphorbiaceae.